AAUGAAUGAUGACAAAAUGUUUCGGUCCCAUAUGAUACAUACUGAUUAUGCCAAUACAUUUGUUUCUGACAUU
Dipodomys ordii (Ord's kangaroo rat) is the source of this 73-nucleotide small nucleolar RNA. Its record names the gene SNORD73. It matches the Rfam family "Small nucleolar RNA SNORD73". From Rfam's summary of the family: U73 is a member of the C/D class of snoRNA which contain the C (UGAUGA) and D (CUGA) box motifs. U73 is encoded within the introns of ribosomal protein S3a and contains a 12nt region of complementarity to a conserved sequence in 28S ribosomal RNA. Lineage: Eukaryota; Metazoa; Chordata; Mammalia; Rodentia; Heteromyidae. The record is from Ensembl.